AGGACGAACGCUGGCGGCGUGCUUAACACAUGCAAGUCGAGCGGAAGGGCCCUUCGGGGUACUCGAGCGGCGAACGGGUGAGUAACACGUGAGUAACCUGCCCCUAGCUCUGGGAUAGCUCCGGGAAACCGGGAUUAAAUACCAGAUACGACCACUUUAGACAUCUGUCGUGGUGGAAAGGAUUCCGGCUAGGGAUGGGCUCGCGGCCUAUCAGCUUGUUGGUGGGGUAACGGCCUACCAAGGCGACGACGGGUA
RNAcentral lists this ribosomal RNA (255 nucleotides) under uncultured bacterium. RNAcentral describes it as "partial small subunit ribosomal RNA". It matches the Rfam family "Bacterial small subunit ribosomal RNA", at positions 26 to 285 of the family's 1533-position model. The record is from RNAcentral.